Molecule: unclassified non-coding RNA, 649 nt
Filed under: uncultured Prochlorococcus sp.
Lineage: Bacteria; Bacillati; Cyanobacteriota; Cyanophyceae; Synechococcales; Prochlorococcaceae
Description: partial 16S-23S ribosomal RNA intergenic spacer; may also contain 16S ribosomal RNA and 23S ribosomal RNA
Rfam family: tRNA (bases 306-378)
Source: RNAcentral
UUGUGGAGGAGGACGCCGAAGGUGGGGCUAAUGACUGGGGUGAAGUCGUAACAAGGUAGCCGUACCGGAAGGUGCGGCUGGAUCACCUCCUAACAGGGAGACAACAAAAUGUUUAAUAUUAUUAUUUUGUCACCUUAGGUCGAUCGGUAUCUCACAUUCUUAAUUUAUUAAGGAUUUUAUUUCCUAAGUUUUUUCUAGGUCACACCCACUAUUUUCCCUGGGCCAUUAGCUCAGGUGGUUAGAGCGCACCCCUGAUAAGGGUGAGGUCCCUGGUUCAAGUCCAGGAUGGCCCAUAUCUCUAUGUUGGGGGUAUAGCUCAGUUGGUAGAGCGCCUGCUUUGCAAGCAGGAUGUCAGCGGUUCGAGUCCGCUUACCUCCACUGAUCACCACCUCUUCCAUAAUUUAUUGAAGGGAAAUAUUUUGAGUUGUGAUCAAAUUCUGAACGAAUCUAGCUUCCUAAUCAAUAUGAUUAAGAUGCUGGACUCAUUGAAUUAAUUUCUUUGUUUUCAGAGAACCUUGACAACUGCAUAGAUUAUUUUUAAAGACAAUAAGCAUCUUUAAUGAUGCAGAUUUAUUAUUUGUGCGAAUGCAUUAAUAACAAUUCUAUUGAGCUGAUGCUUCAAUUUUUGAAGUUAUUGGUCAAGCUACAA